GUUGAACGCUAGCGGCAUGCUUUACACAUGCAAGUCGAACGAGUGGCGGACGGGUGGGUAAUAUAUCGGCACGUGCCCAGUCGCGGGGGAUAACUACUCGAAAGAGUGGCUAAUACCGCAUACGACUGUAUCGGCCGAUAUGGGAUUAGCUAGUUGGUGGGGUAAAGGCUCACCAAGGCAACGAUCCAUAGCUGGUUUGAGAGGAAGACCGGCCACACUGGGACUGAGACACGGCCCAGACUCCUACGGGAGGCAGCAGUGGGGAAUUUUGGACAAUGGGGGAAAGCCUGAUCCAGCCAUCCCGCGUGUAUGAGAAGGCUUUCGGGUCGUAAAGGACUGUUGGUAGAGAAGCGGUAUCUGAAGAAUAAGCAACGGCUAACUACGUGCCAGCAGCCGCGGUAAUAC
Molecule: ribosomal RNA, 405 nt
Filed under: uncultured bacterium
Lineage: Bacteria
Description: partial 16S ribosomal RNA
Rfam family: Bacterial small subunit ribosomal RNA
Source: RNAcentral